This is a long non-coding RNA of Oncorhynchus tshawytscha (Chinook salmon), 3700 nucleotides long. The record is from Ensembl. NCBI's taxonomy places the organism in Eukaryota, Metazoa, Chordata, Actinopteri, Salmoniformes, Salmonidae.
CAGACCCAGAGCCCUGUACCUAGACAAUCAGACCCAUAGCCCUGUACCUAGACAAUCAGACCCAGAGCCCCGUACCUAGACAAUCAGACCCAGAGCCCUGUACCUAGACAAUCAGACCCAUAGCCCUGUACCUAGACAAUCAGACCCGGAGCCCUGUACCUAGACAAUCAGACCCAGAGCUCUGUACCAGAGGAUCAUGGUGUGUCCUGAUCCCUGGAACCGUCUGCUCUCCAUCUCCAACCAACCUCCAAGCUCUCUCUGACCGGAGAUAACCAGAGGACACUGUCUGUACCCAAAGUCUUGCUCCCAGUCCUACGGUGGAUUGUUUCAAUAGAUCUUCUAGUGGUCCCUUUUCUUUACUCUCUGAACAUCAUAUCUCACGUCUUAUUUGAUAAAGAAUGUGAUCUUUUGGAUGUUUUCCGACAGUACUGUUUGCUGUCUCAAUACACCUAACAUGAAGACAGAGGGUACUGAGGAACUGAUGAUACAAUACUAUAUUGAAUCAGAACUUUUCCUCAUGAAUGCAUUUACAGACUUACAGUUCAUUUAGAUUUGUGAAAGAUGUGGUUUUAGGGAGACAGAGUGUGACUGUGCCAUAGAGGUGUGUUGGUAUCAGGUGGUGGUGAACAUAUGGAGAGCAGGGUAGAGGUGUCAGGGUAGGGUGAACAUAGCUGUAGAACUGUCAGGAUGAUGUAUGAUAGCUGUAGAGGUGUCAGGAUGAUGUAUGGUAGCUGUAGAGGUGUCAGGGUGAUGUAUGGUAGCUGUAGAGGUGUCAGGAUGAUGUAUGGUAGCUGUAGAGGUGUCAGGGUGAUGUAUGGUAGCUGUAGAGAUGUCAGGGUGAUCUAUGAUAGCUGUAGAGGUGUCAGGAUGAUGUAUGAUAGCUGUAGAGGUGUCAGGAUGAUGUAUGAUAGCUGUAGAGGUGUCGGGGUGAUGUAUGAUAGCUGUAGGGGUGUCAGGGUGAUCUAUGGUAGCUGUAGAGGUGUCAGGAUGAUGUAUGAUAGCUGUAGAGGUGUCAGGAUGAUGUAUGAUAGCUGUAGAGGUGUCGGGGUGAUGUAUGAUAGCUGUAGGGGUGUCAGGGUGAUGUAUGGUAGCUGUAGAGGUGUCAGGAUGAUAGCUGUAGGGGUGUCAGGAUGAUGUAUGAUAACUGUAGGGGUGUCAGGAUGAUAGCUGUAGAAGUGUCAGGAUGAUGUAUGAUAGCUGUAGGGGUGUCAGGAUGAUGUAUGAUAGCUGUAGAGGUGUCAGGAUGAUAGCUGUAGAAGUGUCAGGAUGAUGUAUGAUAGCUGUAGAGGUGUCAAGGUGAUCUAUGAUAGCUGUAUAGGUCCCAGGGUGAUCUAUGAUAGCUGUAGAGGUGUCAGGAUAAUGUAUGAUAGCUGUAGAGGUGUCAGGAUGAUGUAUGAUAGCUGUAAAAGUGUCAGGAUGAUGUAUGAUAGCUGUAGAGGUGUCAAGGUGAUCUAUGAUAGCUGUAUAGGUCCCAGGGUGAUCUAUGAUAGCUGUAGAGGUGUCAGAGUGAUCUAUGGUAGCUGUAGAGGUGUCAGGGUGAUCUAUGAUAGCUGUAGAGGUGUCAGUGUGAUGUAUGAUAGCUGUAGAGGUUCCAGGGUGAUGUAUGAUAGCUGUAGAGGUGAUGUAUGAUAGCUGUAGAUGGCUGUAGAGGUGUCAGGAUGAUAGCUGUAGGGGUGUCAGGAUGAUUUAUGAUAGCUGUAGAGGUGUCAGGAUGAUAGCUGUAGAAGUGUCAGGAUGAUGUAUGAUAGCUGUAGGGGUGUCAGGAUGAUAGCUGUAGAAGUGUCAGGAUGAUGUAUGGUAGCUAUAGAGGAGCCCGAAUGAUGUAUGGUAGCUGUAGAGGUGUCAGGUCAUCUAUGGUAGCUGUAGAGGUGUCAGGGUGAUGUAUGACAGCUCUAAUCACUGCAUCUGACAACCUUCAACUAGAGGAGGAUACUCUGCCACCAGUCGACCCAGCACACCAGUCCAUUCAGCAGUCCGCCCAGGUCAGCAAUGCCCAUUUGUCCCUCCCGGAUAAAUAUGACGGGGUAGAGGAUUGGUACCAGCACGCAACCCCAUCUAAGUGGCUUCCUACUCAAGUGCUCCCUCUAUUUUGCACAACAGAUGGGAGGCCUCACCACCGAGAGGUCCCAGGUUGCCAUGGUUAUUUCUCUGCUGACUAGGAGGGGGUUGGAGAGGGCUUCAGCCGUCUGGGAGAGAGGAGAGGAGGAGCUGGCUUCGUAUGAGGGGUUCAUGGCUCUGUUCAGAUGUAUCUUCGAUCAUCCGCCGUAGGGCAGAGAGGGGAGUGAGCUUCUAUUCCAACUACGGCAAGAUGAACAACCCGCUGCCGAGUAGGCGCUCACCUUCCAGACAGUAGCAAUAUCCAGUGGAUUGAAUGAGCCGGCACCCCGUACGUUAUUCAGAUGAGGACUGCGCAGGGAGGUCCAGACGCAACUGGCAUGUCGAGACGACAACCUCUCCUUGGAGCCUGAACGAUGCAGACGGAAACAGCUGGGGCUCUGUCCCUAUUGUGGUCAAGGGGGGCACCAGCUUCAGCAGUGUCCGGUACAUCCCAACUCGGUAUCCCUGGUCACAUCUGUCCAUUGAUUUUGUCACUGAUCUCUGAUGCUUUCACCACCAUUUUGGAUUCUCUAAAUCCUGCCGUUUUAUCCCCCUCUGGUCUCCAGGUUGCUAAGGCAGUGUUUCAGCAGGUCUUCUGGCAUUAUGGCCUUCCGGAGGACAUCGUCUCCGACCGUUGCCCCCAAUUCGCAUCACGGACAUGAAGAGCCUUCAUGGAGAAGUUUGAGGUCACGGUCAGCCUCAGUCUAAAGGGCAGGUGGAGAGGAUGAACCAGGAGCUGGGGAAGUUCCUGAGGAGCCACUGCCAGGACCGGCAGGGGGAGUGGGCCCAAUUCCUUCCAGAGGCGGAGUACGCCCAGAAUGUGUUACGUCACUCCUCCACUAGGCUGACUCCAUUCCAUUGUGUUCUGGGUUGUCAGCCGGUCCUGGCUCUGUUGACCCCGGGCCAGACCGAAGCUCCUGCGGUGGUUUAGGCACACAGAAAAAGUGUGGAGCGAUACUCACGUCAGACUAAAGCGCACCGUCCAAUGUCAGGAGUAGAAGGAUUGCCACUGCAGUUAAGCUCCUGUGUUCCAUCAUGUUCUACCAGGAACCUCCCACUCCCUGCAAGAAGCUGAACCCCGGUUUGUGGGGCCGUUCAAGGUUCUCCGAAGGGUCAACGAGGUGACGUAUAUAUUACAGCUACCCAGUGACUACCGUAUCUUACCUUCCUUUCAUGUCUCCCUUCUCAGGCCGGUGGUUCCUGGUCCCCUGGCUAAAGCUGUCCCCUCGUGGGGGGGGGAUUCUGUCACGUCUACUCCCACUCUCCUUCUUCGGCGCUCGACGUUGCCGAUUUACAAAUCACUGCCUCUGACAACCAUCAUUACGUACACCAUCGUUACCCGCACUAGCACCUCAUUAUGAGACUCACCUGGACUCCAUCCCUUCCCUGAUUGUCGCUCCCUUUGGUUCAUUCCCCAGGCAGUAUUGGUUAUGUGUUUAUGUCCAGACGCUACUCUUGUUUUGUAUCGUUCCAUGUUCAUCGUGUUAUUAAACUCACCACCUGCACCUGCUUCUCGACUCCCAGUGUCUGCGUUAGUCUUGUCCAGAGUAAAGCUGUUCUCUUCCCUGGGGGCUGUCAGGAUAUAUUAGGAGUUAUUUUCAUG